CCUACGGGCGGCUGCAGUGGGGAAUAUUGCACAAUGGGCGCAAGCCUGAUGCAGCCAUGCCGCGUGUGUGAAGAAGGCCUUCGGGUUGUAAAGCACUUUCAGCGGGGAGGAAGGCGUAAAGGUUAAUAACCUUGGCGAUUGACGUUACCCGCAGAAGAAGCACCGGCUAACUCCGUGCCAGCAGCCGCGGUAAUACGGAGGGUGCAAGCGUUAAUCGGAAUUACUGGGCGUAAAGCGCACGCAGGCGGUCUGUCAAGUCGGAUGUGAAAUCCCCGGGCUCAACCUGGGAACUGCAUUCGAAACUGGCAGGCUAGAGUCUUGUAGAGGGGGGUAGAAUUCCAGGUGUAGCGGUGAAAUGCGUAGAGAUCUGGAGGAAUACCGGUGGCGAAGGCGGCCCCCUGGACAAAGACUGACGCUCAGGUGCGAAAGCGUGGGGAGCAAACAGGAUUAGAUACCCUUGUAGUC
Molecule: ribosomal RNA, 465 nt
Filed under: uncultured Klebsiella sp.
Lineage: Bacteria; Pseudomonadati; Pseudomonadota; Gammaproteobacteria; Enterobacterales; Enterobacteriaceae
Description: bacterial SSU rRNA
Rfam family: Bacterial small subunit ribosomal RNA
Source: RNAcentral